UAAACCUUAAUCGUAUGGUGGGGGUUAGUCCACAUUUCACAGCUCACCUAACCUUAAUUUGAAAGAGUCUACAAAUUUUGAUUAUCGGAGUUGACUUGAAAUAUAGACCCAUUACCAUCUAUAAAUACAAUAUGCAUUUCAAUAUUUCCCCCUAACUCCGAGCCCUCCUUUUGAUACAGGAACCAACCAGAAGCCGACCGACGCUGAUCUAAUCGAAGAUGGGGAAAGUAAAUGAAUGGGGCAUUUUGGACUUCCUCGUGUUCCUCAUGUUGCUGGUUAUUAUUUUCACCGUCCUGGCCAUCGUCUUAACAAACACGAAGCGGCCACCACCACCGCAGCGACCUGCGGGCGUGGAGCGGCCACCACCACGGCAGCGAGCUGCACGCGCGGCGCAGUGAGCUGGCUGAGAAGUAAUCAAGGUAACUCGCAGUCUUGAUCUGGUCAGAAUGGCGGGAGCUCAAUCAACUCGCUUUAUCACCCUUUAUUAUUAUUAUCAGUAAUUAUAGCAUUCUCUAGUAAUAUGACUUUAAGGUUAUUGGGCUAUUGGCUAACCUUUACAGCCAUUAUAAUUUGUCGAAUGGUUUCUUUGAUUGUGUUAUAAAAAUGGGUUUCUCUAGUAAUGUCAAUAUAACUCUUCGGACUUGGUCUGAAUGUUCAGGUUGAGUUUGGGGUGUUACAAAGCUUAUACUGUCAUUCAAGAAUAUUUAUAACAAAUAAAAAGUAGGGUAAACUACUUAGUUGAUCACCAA
This is a long non-coding RNA of Gossypium raimondii (Peruvian cotton), 749 nucleotides long. RefSeq lists it as uncharacterized. The transcript has 2 exons. Lineage: Eukaryota; Viridiplantae; Streptophyta; Magnoliopsida; Malvales; Malvaceae. The record is from RefSeq and is a predicted model, not a curated record.